AUCUAUUUGUUGCUACGCUGCUUAGUGAAUGGCUUGGCUUGAUAUCUGAAGAAGGACGUGGCAAGCUGCGAUAAGCCCCGGCGAGGCGCAUGCGGCCUUUGAACCGGGGAUUUCCGAAUUGCCCCCUUUGGGGGGCGGGAACGCGGAGAAUUGAAACAUCUUAGUACCCGCGGGAAAAGAAAACAACAGUGAUUUCCUGAGUAGGGGCGACCCAAAGGGAAAGAGAGCAAACCGAAUACCCUGCCGCAAGGCAGGGUAGAUGUGGGGUAUGGACACUCUUACAUCCAAAGGCGGGAUCCGAAGCUUCUGGAAAAGUUGCACCAUAGAGGGUGACAGGCCCGUAGGAGAACCGUUCGAGGAUGAGUGGAGAUGUUCCUGAGUAAGGCCGGUUGGUUUUCCGGCAAGAAGAUGGGAGUCACUAACUUCCAACUCUAAAUAUGUAUCAAGACCGAUAGUGAAAUAGUACCGUGAGGGAAAGCUGAAAAGAACCCGUAACAGGGUGUGAAAAGAACCUGAAACUAAGCAGUAUUGUUAUCCGUUUUGAAAAAUGGGGUAAGGAGUGUAGAUCGUUGGCAAGGUUAACUCUUUUUUAUGAGAGGAAGCCACAGCGAAAGCGAGUGCGAAAGUGCGUUUAGUCAGCGGUCUACCACCCGAAACCUAAUGAUCUAACCCGGGACAGGUUGAAGUGUAGCGAAAGCUGCAUGGAGGACCGAACCAGUACUGAGGUGCUACUCGUUUGGAUGAUCCGGGGUUAGGGGUGAAAUGCCAAUCGUAUUGGGUGAUAGCUGGUUCCCCCCAAAAUGAGCCGUAGUUCAGCCUCAAUGCUUAAGUUCGAUGUGUAUAGUUACUGAUCGAGAGGUAGGGGAAGAAAUUCUUCGCCUUUCGGCCAAACUCAGAAGCGUCGAUCAGUAUGCAUUGGGAGUGAGGUUUGCCGGGGAAAGCUCGGUGACCCUGAGGGAAACAACCCUAACUGGCAUUAAGGUCCCAAAGUGAUAACUAAGUACUUUCGAAAGUGUCUCUAUCCUAAAACAGAAGGUAGGUAGGCCUAGAAGCAACCACCCUUUAAAGAGUGCGUAACAGCUCACCUUCCUAGGGUAGUGGCACCCAAGAUGGACGGGGUUAAGUUAUCCACCGAUAUGCCGGUCUCUCAAGUUCGCUUGAGAGAGGUAGGGGGGCGUCUUGCGAGGGCAGAAGCGUUUCUUUAAGGAAGCGUGGACCUUGCUUGAAUGAGAAUCUUACCGAAAGUAGCAACAAAGUGGUGUGAGAAUCACCAUCGCCACAAGUGGGUAAGGGUUCCCUACCAAUGACGAUCAGGUAGGGGUAAGUCAGUAUUCUAACUUGACCGGUAACUUACGUCUCGGAAGAUAAACUGGUUAAUAAUCCAGUACCGUCAAGAAUUAUCUUAUCUGCAGAUUCGGGAUAGGUCAGCGCGAGCCAAGCAUAUAAGCCCUUCGAGUCUCGUAAUGAGGAGAAGAGGGUGAAAGUGUGACGGGCCUCCCUUUGGAGGUUUGGCCAAGUUCUGGAUCCAUUGAAAACAGAAUAAGAGUGUCUUGAUGACUGUACCCAGAACCGACACUGGUACCCACGCUGAGUAGGCGAAGGUGUGAUGGGAUAAUCCUGUCUAGGGAACUCGGCAAUUUAGUAGCGUAUCUUAGGUAUAAGCUAUGCCUGUUUUCCAUUUCGGAAAAGCAGGUCUCAGUGACAAGAAGAACCCGACUGUUUAAUAAAAACAUAUCCGACUGCUAGCCAGAAAUGGUGCGUAUAGUCGGUGAAACCUGCCCAGUGCGGGUGUGUUAAACCCGGCCAAACCGGGCCAAGCCCCCGUAAACGGCGGCGGUAACUCUGACCGUCUUAAGGUAGCGUAAUCCCUUGCCGAUUAAUCGUCGGCCUGCAUGAAGGUCCAACGUGGUUCUUACUGUCCCAGACAGGAACCCAGCGAACUCUCUGCCUGGUGAAUAGGCCAGGAUCUCCUAGUGGGAAGACUAGUCCCUGUGGAGCUUUACUACAGCCUGCUGUUGUGGUGAGUUUUUAGCUGCAUAGAGUAGAUAGGAGCCGUAAGGCGAAAGUGUAACACUAUCCUGCUCGAAACUCACUGCUGACCCCUCCGGGGGGACACCAGUUGGUGGGUAGUUUGGGUGGGGCGCCACACCCCUAACAAUUCAUCAGGGGUGCCCAAAGGUCAGCUCACCGAGGUCAGAAGUCUCGGGAAGAGUGUAAACGCAAAAGCUGGCUUGAUUGGAUACUGAGAAGCAACGUAUCCAAGUGCGAAAGCAUGGGUUAGCGAUAUGCAGCUUUACUUUAGUGGUAGCCUGUAACGUCAGAAAAGCUACCCCAGGGAUAAUGGAGCCGUGGUCCCCAAGAGUCCAUAUCGACGGGACGCGUUGCUACGUCGUUGUUGGCUCCUCUCCUCCUGGGCGUGCAUAAGCGCCCAAGGGUGCAGGGGUUUACUGCUUAAAGAGGGACGCUAGCUGAGUUAAGAACGGCGUGAGCCAGUUCGGUCUAUAUCUGCUAGGAGUGUUAUGUUCUGACAGUAAGGAGGCUAUAGUACGAAAGGAACAAGCUUCCGUGGCCACUGGUGUACCGGUUGUGAUUGCACCGCCGGGUAGCUACGCCAUAUUGGAUAAGAGCUGAAAGCAUCUAAGCACGAAGCCAAGCUGAAAAAAAGAACAACUUAGGAGCUCGUAGAAGACGAGUUUGAUAGAAAGGGGAUGUAAGUACCAAGCUUCGGCGAGGUAUUCAGUCCUCCUUCACUAAAUCCUAGGCGGCAAAUAGAU
RNAcentral lists this ribosomal RNA (2774 nucleotides) under Candidatus Aenigmatarchaeota archaeon. Its description in RNAcentral is "23S ribosomal RNA". It matches the Rfam family "Archaeal large subunit ribosomal RNA". Lineage: Archaea; Nanobdellati; Candidatus Aenigmatarchaeota. The record is from RNAcentral.